RNAcentral lists this ribosomal RNA (265 nucleotides) under Bacillus licheniformis. RNAcentral describes it as "partial 16S ribosomal RNA". It matches the Rfam family "Bacterial small subunit ribosomal RNA", at positions 1 to 255 of the family's 1533-position model. The record is from RNAcentral. Lineage: Bacteria; Bacillati; Bacillota; Bacilli; Caryophanales; Bacillaceae.
UUCAUGGAGAGUUUGAUCCUGGCUCAGGACGAACGCUGGCGGCGUGCCUAAUACAUGCAAGUCGAGCGGACCGACGGGAGCUUGCUCCCUUAGGUCAGCGGCGGACGGGUGAGUAACACGUGGGUAACCUGCCUGUAAGACUGGGAUAACUCCGGGAAACCGGGGCUAAUACCGGAUGCUUGAUUCAACCGCAUGGUUCAAGCAUAAAAGGUGGCGUUUAGCUACCACUUGCAGAUGGACCCGCGGCGCAUUAGUUAGUUGGUGA